GUCGUCUGCUUUCGUCAUUGUGUAAACUGAUAAACUCUGGUCGCGCCUUUUUAUAGAAUCUCUUAAUACAGACACUCUGUACUAGCAGAAAGGAACAGACCAGUGCCAGUGCCAGCCAUCAGAACCACAAGAUAAGCAAUGUUUGCUGAUGCUUGUGUUGGUGACCUGUCAUUUCACCAACAAUCUCAGUCUCAUAUCGCUUGGAUAAGCAGCAUUCCAUGUCAUUGGAGAAUUCCCUUUCUUUUAAUGUCGUCUGUCCUCGUGCACGUCCAUGUGAAUGUGGGUGUAUUCACAAGGACACCUUUUUCCCUAUUCCGCCUGCUGGAUUCAACUUUUCAGUGGAUGAAAGCACUUGUGGAUGUCUGGCUGUAUUUCCCAGGCUUAAAGGGGAGACUCUGCUGCUGCUGGAUGGCGGCCAAAAUAGCGGGCAGAAAAGGGAGGAGGAAAGGCCGUAAAAUAUAGCCGGAAAACAUCGUUUAUAUGGAAGAAGAAGAAGAAGCUAAGAAGAGACUCGACAAUAUAUAUUUUUUCAUCCCGAAAAAAUUCCGGUGUCCGACAUCAGUUUUCGUGUGCACAGUCCGAUAUUCUCUCCUUCUCUCUUCGUCGUCGUCGUCUUUCUCCUUAAGUGGAGUGAUAUUAUUAUACUUCAAGGCGCCGCCAAAUAUAAAAAAAAAGAAGAAUUGGAUAGUCCAACAAACAACAA
Long non-coding RNA from Daphnia pulex (common water flea), 703 nucleotides. RefSeq lists it as uncharacterized. The transcript is spliced from 4 exons. NCBI's taxonomy places the organism in Eukaryota, Metazoa, Arthropoda, Branchiopoda, Diplostraca, Daphniidae. The record is from RefSeq and is a predicted model, not a curated record.